RNAcentral lists this ribosomal RNA (442 nucleotides) under uncultured bacterium. RNAcentral describes it as "partial 16S ribosomal RNA". It matches the Rfam family "Bacterial small subunit ribosomal RNA", at positions 338 to 795 of the family's 1533-position model. The record is from RNAcentral.
CCUACGGGAGGCAGCAGUGGGGAAUAUUGGGCAAUGGGCGCAAGCCUGACCCAGCAACGCCGCGUGAAGGAAGAAGGCGUUCGGGUUGUAAACUUCUUUUAAGAGGGAAGAGCAGAAGACGGUACCUCUGGAAUAAGCCACGGCUAACGACGGGCCAGCAGCCGCGGAAAUACGUAGGUGGCAAGCGUUGUCCGGAUUGACUGGGUGGAAAGGGCGUGCAGCCGGGAAGACAAGUCAGAUGUGAAAUCCCGCGGCUCAACCGCGGAACUGCCUUUGAAACUGUUUUUCUUGAGUACCGGAGCGGUCAUCGGAAUUCCUUGUGUAGCGGUGACAUGCGUAGAUAUCAGGCAGAACACCAGUGGCGACGGCGGCUGCCUGGCCGGCAUCUGACGGUGAGGCGCGAAAGCGUGGGGAGCAAACAGGAUUAGAUACCCUGGUAGUC